This 232-nucleotide ribosomal RNA is filed under the name uncultured bacterium. Its description in RNAcentral is "partial 16S ribosomal RNA". It matches the Rfam family "Bacterial small subunit ribosomal RNA", at positions 333 to 579 of the family's 1533-position model. The record is from RNAcentral.
UUCUGCCUACGGGGGGCAACAGUGGGGAAUAUUGGGCAAUGGGCGCAAGCCUGACCCAGCAACGCCGCGUGAAGGAAGAAGGCUUUCGGGUUGUAAACUUCUUUUCUUGGGGACGAAGAAAGUGACGGUACCCAAGGAAUAAGCCACGGCUAACUACGUGCCAGCAGCCGCGGUAAUACGUAGGUGGCAAGCGUUAUCCGGAUUUAUUGGGUGUAAAGGGCGUGUAGGCGGG